This 464-nucleotide ribosomal RNA is filed under the name uncultured bacterium. RNAcentral describes it as "partial 16S ribosomal RNA". It matches the Rfam family "Bacterial small subunit ribosomal RNA", at positions 28 to 506 of the family's 1533-position model. The record is from RNAcentral.
GACGAACGCUGGCGGCGUGCUUAACACAUGCAAGUCGAACGGAAAGGCCCUGCUUGCAGGGUACUCGAGUGGCGAACGGGGGAGUAACACGUGGGUGAUCUGCCCUGCACUUCGGGAUAAGCCUGGGAAACUGGGUCUAAUACCGGAUAGGAGCCAUUUUUAGUGUGAUGGUUGGAAAGUUUUUUCGGUGUAGGAUGAGCUCGCGGCCUAUCAGCUUGUUGGUGGGGUAAUGGCCUACCAAGGCGGCGACGGGUAGCCGGCCUGAGAGGGUGGACGGCCACAUUGGGACUGAGAUACGGCCCAGACUCCUACGGGAGGCAGCAGUGGGGAAUAUUGCACAAUGGGCGCAAGCCUGAUGCAGCGACGCCGCGUGGGGGAUGACGGCCUUCGGGUUGUAAACUGCUUUCGCUAGGGACGAAGCUUUUUGUGACGGUACCUAGAUAAGAAGCACCGGCUAAUUACGU